RNAcentral lists this signal recognition particle RNA (264 nucleotides) under Clostridium cibarium. RNAcentral's name for it is "Clostridium sp. Sa3CVN1 signal recognition particle sRNA large type". It matches the Rfam family "Bacterial large signal recognition particle RNA". From Rfam's summary of the family: The signal recognition particle (SRP) is a universally conserved ribonucleoprotein involved in the co-translational targeting of proteins to membranes. Archaeal SRP consists of a 7S RNA and homologues of the eukaryotic SRP19 and SRP54 proteins. RNAcentral also lists the same sequence under 1 other name. The record is from RNAcentral. Lineage: Bacteria; Bacillati; Bacillota; Clostridia; Eubacteriales; Clostridiaceae.
CCGUGCUAGAUGGGGAGUUAGCGGUGCCUUGUAACCUGCAAUCCGCUAUAGCAGGAUUGAAUUCCCCAGAGAGGCUAUAAUGAAUAUGGUCUGCCCCAUGCAAGUGGUGUUGAUAGUCGGGUCCCACGCAACGGAACCCAUGAACCUCGUCAGGUCCGGAAGGAAGCAGCGAUAAGUGGUCACUUCCGUGUGCCGUGGAUCUAUCUGGCUUGAGCUAACUACAUGGGUAACGCAUACGAGUUAUAGUCGAACUGGGGUGCACGG